AUGCAAAUUACUAAGCUCUGUGUAACUGAGCUCCAACUCUUUUAGGCUGUGCACCCCCUGCAGCAAGGGGCUUUGCACCUGACUCCCUGACUUGGGGCACUGCCAUCAGCGGCUCCUCAUCUUCCAGGAGUGUCGCCAUGACAAGAUGUGAUGUAAGGGGUCUGCCUCCAGGACCUUCCACACUGCACUGAGCAAAACAGCCCCUGGCCACUUCAGGGAAGUAACUUGUUGAUAACAGCAGAUUCCUCAAGACCCUCACAGCUGCACCCCAAGCCUCUGCAGAAAUAUAUGGCUAUAUGUGGCUAACUGUGGUAAAAACUCAC
This is a long non-coding RNA of Heterocephalus glaber (naked mole-rat), 323 nucleotides long. The record is from Ensembl. NCBI's taxonomy places the organism in Eukaryota, Metazoa, Chordata, Mammalia, Rodentia, Bathyergidae.